This 428-nucleotide ribosomal RNA is filed under the name Chloroflexota bacterium. Its description in RNAcentral is "Chloroflexi bacterium partial 16S ribosomal RNA". It matches the Rfam family "Bacterial small subunit ribosomal RNA", at positions 355 to 776 of the family's 1533-position model. The record is from RNAcentral. Lineage: Bacteria; Bacillati; Chloroflexota.
UGGGGAAUAUUGCACAAUGGGCGCAAGCCUGAUGCAGCCAUGCCGUGCGUAUGAAGAAGGCCUUCGGGUUGUAAAGUACUUUCAGCGGGGAGGAAGGGAGUAAAGUUAAUACCUUUGCUCAUUGACGUUACCCGCAGAAGAAGCACCGGCUAACUCCGUACCAGCAGCCGCGGUAAUACGGAGGGUGCAAGCGUUAAUCGGAAUUACUGGGCGUAAAGCGCACGCAGGCGGUUUGUUAAGUCAGAUGUGAAAUCCCCGGGCUCAACCUGGAACUGCAUCUGAUACUGGCAAGCUUGAGUCUCGUAGAGGGGGGUAGAAUUCCAGGUGUAGCGGUGAAAUGCGUAGAGAUCUGGAGGAAUACCGGUGGCGAAGGCGGCCCCCUGGACAAAGAAUGACGCUCAGGUGCGAAAGCGUGGGGAGCAAACAGG